Molecule: long non-coding RNA, 392 nt
Filed under: Salvia miltiorrhiza (redroot sage)
Lineage: Eukaryota; Viridiplantae; Streptophyta; Magnoliopsida; Lamiales; Lamiaceae
Description: long non-coding RNA (SMIL_LNC013087)
Source: RNAcentral
GACACACCCGACACACUCAUAAUACAGAUAUGCAAAAGUAAUGGGAGUAAGGCAUCCAGGAUGCAUCCACCAUGCAGUCCCAAAUUGAUUUCCUCAAAAAUCAAAUAAUUAAAGAUGAAAUUGCAACUACAUGAAUACCUUAAACAAAAUCAAAAGAAAUAAUCUCAUAUUCAUGAACAGAUGGAAGAACAACAAGAUCAUCAUCAAACAUUCAUCUACACAAAAAAUCUUCAUCAGUCAUAAUCCAGCGGAAGAAAUAUUACAUAUGUUCUUGAUUAUUACAACUUUCCAGAACAUUUACAUCUUUUCUCAAAAUUAAAAAACUGGGAAUUCACACAAAAAAAUGGGAAGAAACCCAAAAUCCCACUGCACUCCUCCUGCCCUCGGCGGUC